CUUGAAUUCAAAAUAAUCCAAGCUAACUUAACACGUUAAAAAAAAUAAAGCUACAUUCUUUACAACAAAUCUUUCAGUUAUGCCAAAAAUACAAAUUCCAGAAUAUAUUUGUAAUAAUAAUAAUGCUAAGGCCUCCAGGCAUGCCAAAUUUCCAGUCUUGUGGAUAUAAACUGUAAGCAUUGUGCAUUUUUCUUUCAGCCGUCAGAUCCUCUCCUCUGAAGAGAUCAUCGUUGAAGAACAGCUUGAGAUAAGCACGACGAACCAGAAGAACACAGAGGGAUCCCGAUGGCUGUCAGAUCAAGCAGUAGCAGUUGGCCUAAAAAAGAAACCAAACCACCUCCCAGCCACAGCCGCUUAUGAUGGCUGACACGGCGAGCCUUGGAGCAUGGUGACCUCCAUAGAUGGCAGCCAGCAAAACCUGGUUGGACCUGCAGAGAUAUAGCACAAUUAAAAGGGCUGGCACUUCGGAUUGCAACAUUACUGAAACGAAAAGCGUGAACACUACAGGAAUUUCUGCUCUAUGGAAAAAUGUUAUUUUUGGAUUCUUCGGGAAGGCAUGCAUAUAAAACCACUGGUUCCCUGAGAAAAAGAACUGGAGCCCAAGGAGCUCAAAAAUUGGAGAUUUUCAUCGUGCUCUGCCCUGCUGUUGCCUUCGACUGUUCCUCGCCGUGCCCCCUCCCUGCUGUCGCCCCAUCCCGGCCACAUUUUGGCUCUCGGAGGAGGUGAGUGCCGGGGCCCUCGUGGGCCACCCACGGUCCUCCGGGCCCACAAGGAUUUGGCUUUAUAUAGCACCUGGGAGAUGCAUGUCAGAUAACGCUGGCAGGCUUUCAAAACCUUCUCUGCAGCUUUUGUGCCAAGACCUAUAGGACGCGUUCCAGAGCAUCUCGCAGGAAUGUUUGUUAUUAUGGCAGGCCAAGAAAAAAAAGAGGGGGGAAAAGAGGCAGUGCGGGAGCACAUCGCUGUUAAUUACCAAAAAUCCUUUAAUAACCCACAUUACUAUAAAUGAUGUGUGCAUUACGGGGAGGACAAUUGAGGGCUCUGUUUUUCUUGCCCCACGUUGGGGCGUGGAACAAUGCCCCCUUGUUGCCCAGCCCGAGGUGGUGGCACUCCUGGUGAAAUUGGGGUUUCUCCAUCCCGUACCUGUGCCCGCUGUGAAAACCCCAUUGUUCGUCGCCCGGGGACAGGCAGGGGCCGUCACGCGACCUUAUCUCCACACAAAGCCCAUCAGGACAUUUCUGAGGAGGUUUUAAGGUUUCCAUAAGAAAUUGGAUUCAUUAACCCAAAGCUGUGCGGGUGCAGCCGGGGCUCCG
RNAcentral lists this long non-coding RNA (1310 nucleotides) under Anas platyrhynchos platyrhynchos (common mallard). RNAcentral's name for it is "lncRNA (ENSAPLG00000027521.1)". Lineage: Eukaryota; Metazoa; Chordata; Aves; Anseriformes; Anatidae. The record is from RNAcentral.